GAUUUACUUUCAAGUUAUUAAUGC
This 24-nucleotide non-coding RNA is filed under the name Arabidopsis thaliana (thale cress). The record is from RNAcentral. Lineage: Eukaryota; Viridiplantae; Streptophyta; Magnoliopsida; Brassicales; Brassicaceae.